CCUACGGGUGGCAGCAGUGGGGAAUAUUGCGCAAUGGGCGAAAGCCUGACGCAGCGACGCCGCGUGAGGGAUGAAGGUCCUCGGAUCGUAAACCUCUGUCAGCAGGGAAGAACGGUCACUGUGCUAAUCAGCAGUGAAUUGACGGUACCGGCAAAGGAAGCACCGGCUAACUCCGUGCCAGCAGCCGCGGUAAUACGGGGGGUGCGAGCGUUAAUCGGAAUUACUGGGCGUAAAGGGCUCGUAGGCGGUAUGGCAAGUCAAGGGGGAAAUCCCCGCGCUCAACGUGGGAACUGCCCUUGAAACUGGCAGGCUGGAGUGUGUGAGAGGAAAGUGGAAUUCCAGGUGUAGGAGUGAAAUGCGUAGAUAUCAGGAGGAACAUCGGUGGCGAAGGCGACUAUCUGGCACAUAACUGACGCUGAGGAGCGAAAGCGUGGGUAGCAAACAGGAUUAGAUACCCUUGUAGUC
RNAcentral lists this ribosomal RNA (465 nucleotides) under uncultured bacterium. RNAcentral's name for it is "partial 16S ribosomal RNA". It matches the Rfam family "Bacterial small subunit ribosomal RNA", at positions 338 to 795 of the family's 1533-position model. The record is from RNAcentral.